Molecule: long non-coding RNA, 4398 nt
Filed under: Brassica napus (rape)
Lineage: Eukaryota; Viridiplantae; Streptophyta; Magnoliopsida; Brassicales; Brassicaceae
Description: long non-coding RNA (BNAP_LNC017971)
Source: RNAcentral
UAAAAAAACCUUAAAACUGGUUAGAGGAGAAAGAGUUAGAGAGCCAUGAGUGGGAAAACCUCAUAAUACGGAAUAUUGCAUACUAGAAUAUUACAACUUGAGUUAUGAUCAUAAGUCAUGUCAUUUUCAUUUACACGUUGGCUUGUCUUUAUUGAAAGUAAAAAAUAUGUAAUGUUACAAAAUAAACCGAAAGUUAAGGAGAUAUUGAAGAAAAUAAGGAAAACACGUUACUCUCUGAAAAGGAGGUGAUAUCUUCAUCUUUGUUUGUGACAUUUCUCCUUUUCCCUCUUCUCAAUCAGUGGUUAAUUAUUUGCACCUAUUUGAUUUCCUUUAUUUUGUUCAAAAGUCGUAAUUCUUUUAAUUUAUAAUUUGAUAGUUCUACGUAGAUAUCAUGACAUUUACGUUUUCUAACUUUACUGAUCAUUAAACAUACGUUCAACAAGUCAAAUAGUUUCGAGUUUUUGACGUGUAAGGUAAAACUAGAAGGCCUUCGAAUGACACCCAUUUAUUCUGAUAUUGAUUUUUUGGGCAAACUCAAAUGGUUCAUAACAUUACAUUUUGUCAAGACCGAAGUGUUCCGUGUAAGAUUUAUUCUUUAUUUUUAGCAACGAGCCAUUGUAAUGGUCAAUGAACGUUAUUGUUUUUACGUUACAAAUUUGACCGAGAAAAAACUAGUAAUCCUACAUAAUCAAUUUUAGUCAGAAUACAAAUGAAUCCUAGCACGGGCCAUUAUAAUAUAUGUUUCACACGUGACAUACCUGAAUCUAUGUAACAUUUUAUAAUAGCGAUGACUAUUUGUAUACUCGAAUACAGCUAUCAAAUACUAGAUUUUCUGUUGUGAGUCGAGAUUAAUCAUUAUUUACAUACGUCCUCGAAUUAACCUAAACAUUAAGGUGGAAAUCCCGCUCAAGAUUAAAAGCUGUUUAGUGGAUAUAAACGUGUAACUAGUGCGAAUAAACACACAAAUACAAAUCGUAAGAAUAUAGUCAGCAGACAAUUAUUACUCAUUGACUAUCUCAACUAUACGGAGAUGCAAUAAACCAAGUGCCAUACACCAAAGUCGGAUCCACAAUCAAAUCGACAAACAUAUAUAACUAUGUAUAUAUAGAUGCAAACUAUACCCUUUUUCUUCUUCCUUUAAUUUUCUUAAAAUUGGUGGUGAUUGAUCGCAACAUACGUAAGUAUACAUUUGGAAAAAGAAAUACAUAAAGAAAAAAGCAGAAAUCUUGAAAUGUACAAAAUGCCAGAGUUAACUUGAUGGGAAAAGAUUAUCCAUUUCCAUAAAUCUCUUGAUUUUUUUUUUGUAAUAUUUUUCCAGUAAAUCACUUUUUAAUUGCUUUAUUAAUCUAUUAGAUAUUUUACCAAAUAAACUAAUCAGUUGUUCGAUUAAUUUUGGUAAAAAAAACUGUUUAAUAAGCUAGGUUGCAUGGAAACAGAAACGGAUACGCGGAAACGGUUUCGUUUCGAAACGUGGAAACUUGAUUUUUUUAUUUUUUUUGCUUUAGAAAUGUUUUAGAAACGUCUAUAUAUAUAUAUAUAUAACUGAUUAAUAUUUAUAUUCAUUUUUGUUAUGUUUAGUAUAUCUUUUUUGAAAAUAUAUGUUUAAUAUAUCUUAAAAUACAAAUAAAUAAAUAGCCAUUCUAUUUAAUCAUACAAAAAUAAAAUAAAUCAUCAUUAAACAUCAAAGUUAUAUAAAAAAAUCAAAAUAACAAAAACCCAGUACUUAAAUAUUAAAUAACUUAACUAAAAUAAAAAUCAUAACAACAAGUCAUAACCAAUUGGAAAGUUCUAGCGUUUCCAAAACAGAAACGCGAGUUUCCAAAAUAGAAACGCAAGUUUCCACUAAGUUUCCAAACUGAGAUUUUUAAGAAACGAGUUUCCAAAGCGUUUCCGUGAGUUUCCGAGAGAUUCCGAUUCCGAAACGUUUCCGAAAUGUGAAACGGACCUUCAACCGAGUUUCCAUGCAACGUAGUUAAUAAGACCCAAACAGAAAAAGAAAACAGAAUUGGCUGAGCGAGAAAAUAAGCUGCAGAAGGAAAAUUUCCCUAGAAAUUCUACUUAAGUUGCAUGCAUACUACUAGUUAUCAAAUUUCUAUGAAAAUUAAAGUUUUAUUUUUAUUUCCUUCAACUUAUGUUAUAACUGGAUAAAACUUCUAUGAAAAGUCAACAGAUAUUUUCAUCAUUUCAUAAGAAUAAAAUAAUUACUGAUUAAUGUUGAAACGUUACAGUAAGAAAAAAAAUCACACUAAAAGGAAAUGGGAAGAAGCAAACAUAUAUCUUCCACCACUGUGUAUGCGCUUGACAUAUGUGACAAAGACCCCAAGAAAACACCCAAAGCACCAAGCUGAAAAAAAUCCAUCAAAUCGCCGGCGUAGUUGAUGGCGGAGGAGAAUCAAGAAGAAACCCUAGUCUUGAAACCAAGAAGUAAACCACCUCACUUCGUGUUAAUACACGGCAUAAGCUUAGGAUCAUGGUGCUGGUACAAAAUCAAAUGUCUCAUGGAAGUCUCUGGCUUCACCGUCACUUGCAUCGACCUCAAAUCCUCCGGCAUCGAUCCUUCCUCUGCCGAUUCUCUAACUUCCUUCGACCAAUACAACCAACCACUCACCGACUUCCUCUCCUCCUUGCCCGAACAAGAACAGGUCAGACACACACAAAAGAUAACUAAAAAACUAACUUAGUUAAUUCUUGAAGCCUAAGCAAACUCACUCUGUUUCCUCUGUUUUAUGUUUUGUCAUCAGGUGAUACUUGUGGGUCACAGUGCAGGAGGGCUUAGCGUAACGAGCUCGAUACAUAAAUUCCCUAAGAAAAUCUCUCUAGCUGUUUAUAUUGCAGCUACAAUGCUCAAAUUCGGGUUUCAGACCGAUGAAGAUUUGAAAGAUGUAAUUAAAUAAAUAAAAAAUUACUUUAAAAUGAAGGUAACUUGUGAGUGACGUUUUGUUGUUCUUUCACAGGGAGUACCUGAACUAUCAGAACAUGGUGAUGUUUAUGAGCUUGGUUUCGGUUUAGGACACGAACAUCCUCCGACCAGUGCCCUUAUCAAACCGGAGUACCGUCGAAAGCUCCUUUACCACAUGAGUCCUCAACAGGUAUUUUCUAUUUUAUUUUAUUUUAUUUCUCUAGGUUUCAAAUCAGAUAUUUUUUUCUCACAAUCCAAAUCUGUUGUCCUUAUGCUCGCCGUUUUUGUUUAUGAAUGUUGUCAAGGAAUGUGCGUUGGCUGCGUUACUAAUGAGACCAGGUCCGGUUCUGGCGCUAACGACAGCAAAGGUUGAAGAAAAAGGACAAGAAGUGGAGGAGCACGUGCCGCGCGUGUUCAUCAAGACGUUGCACGACCGGGUGAUGAAACCGGAGCAGCAGGAGGCGAUGAUGAAAAAGUGGCCACCGAGAGAAGCGUACGAAGUGGACAGUGACCAUUCACCUUUCUUCUCUAACCCUUUUGUGCUCUUUGGUUUACUCAUCAAAGCUGCCGUUUCUGUUGGUUCCAAUACUGAUAUUUAGUAGACAUGUUACUCGAGUUAACUCUAAUCAAACAGAAAAUGCCCAAUCGUUGCUUUCUCUAUAUUCUCUCUCUGCCUUUGAGGUUGCCCUAAAUAUACAACCUGAUGAUGGUUUAGCGGUGAGAAAUUAGUGGUAGUCUUAUUUUGUUGAAACUAUAUUAUAGAUUGAAUUUUUGAUAUACACUCAUUCAAAUGUCUACCACAGAGAAAAAGAAGGUUUAUAAUGAAAAUGAAUCUGAUUCCCUCGUCCACAAAGACUCUGACAAUUGGCAAAGGCUUUCUUUCUUUUUGCACAUGUCUCCGCUCAGGCCAUUUCAUAUGUCACCUCUCACACUUAUUGGAUUGUCCCCCGCUCCUCUAAAUAUCAAAAGCAUCUGAUGCAGUUGAAUGCACGUAAGACUAUUCAAGAAAACAUCUAAAUUCACUAUUAUGUUGAAAAAAUGAAUGGCCUAAGCGGAGAUGUUGUAUUUUCUGAUCAAGAAAUUUUAUUUUAUUUUUUGGAUUUUGUAACGAUUUGUUAGGCGGGUUAUCCGGUCGCUGAAGACUACACGUUUCUUGGUUAAAAAAACCUUAAAACUGGUUAGAGGAGAAAGAGUUAGAGAGCCAUGAGUGGGAAAACCUCAUAAUACGGAAUAUUGCAUACUAGAAUAUUACAACUUGAGUUAUGAUCAUAAGUCAUGUCAUUUUCAUUUACACGUUGGCUUGUCUUUAUUGAAAGUAAAAAAUAUGUAAUGUUACAAAAUAAACCGAAAGUUAAGGAGAUAUUGAAGAAAAUAAGGAAAACACGUUACUCUCUGAAAAGGAGGUGAUAUCUUCAUCUUUGUUUGUGACAUUUCUCCUUUUCCCUCUUCUCAAUCAGUGGUUAAUUAUUUGCACCUAUUUGAUUUCCUUUAUUUUGUUC